RNAcentral lists this ribosomal RNA (497 nucleotides) under uncultured bacterium. Its description in RNAcentral is "partial 16S ribosomal RNA". It matches the Rfam family "Bacterial small subunit ribosomal RNA", at positions 28 to 507 of the family's 1533-position model. The record is from RNAcentral.
GAUGAACGCUGGCGGCGUGCCUAAUACAUGCAAGUCGAGCGAACAGACGAGGAGCUUGCUCCUCUGACGUUAGCGGCGGACGGGUGAGUAACACGUGGAUAACCUACCUAUAAGACUGGGAUAACUUCGGGAAACCGGAGCUAAUACCGGAUAAUAUAUUGAACCGCAGGGUGCAAUAGUGAAAGACGGUUUUGCUGCCACUUAUAGAUGGAUCCGCGCCGCAUUAGCUAGUUGGUAAGGUAACGGCUUACCAAGGCAACGAUGCGUAGCCGACCUGAGAGGGUGAUCGGCCACACUGGAACUGAGACACGGUCCAGACUCCUACGGGAGGCAGCAGUAGGGAAUCUUCCGCAAAGGGCGAAAGCCUGACGGAGCAACGCCGCGUGAGUGAUGAAGGUCUUCGGAUCGUAAAACUCUGUUAUUAGGGAAGAACAAAUGUGUAAGUAACUAUGCACGUCUUGACGGUACCUAAUCAGAAAGCCACGGCUAACUACGUG